This 777-nucleotide long non-coding RNA is filed under the name Anas platyrhynchos platyrhynchos (common mallard). RNAcentral describes it as "lncRNA (ENSAPLG00000029252.1)". The record is from RNAcentral. Lineage: Eukaryota; Metazoa; Chordata; Aves; Anseriformes; Anatidae.
UAAAGAAACAACAUGGGCAGUGUCUGUGCUGCCUUCGAGGGAGGGCUCUGGGUAAUCCCUUCUCGCUCUGCCCCCAUCCUUCACCCCCCACCAUCCUGUCUGAGGCCCAGUUUUAGCCCCAGUGCUGCUUAAUUCCCAAUGGGGAGAUAUUUGCAGGGUGGGAUUUUAUUUCCAGCAGCUAAAUGAGCCUCUCGAAACUAUUCUACCAGCACUUGUGUAGGGGGAAGAUGCUGCACUGCUUUUUGCUCAGAGAAAAGGAGCCUGACAGCUUAGCGCUGCUCAGAGACAGGAAAAUUACUUUGUCUGCUUUUGCAGAGCAACGUGAGAGAAGGAGCAGUGGCGAUUCCUGCGAAUGCUUUCAGCCAAAAAACGGGAGGCUUGGGCUGUGAUUCAUGCUGUCAGCCACAGGAAAAGUCCCUGCCCCAGCAAAUAAGUCGGGGUUUGCCAUGGGAACGUCCCUGCUGGCGCUUGCCUGGUUCACCUGCCCGGGACAGGGGCCAUCACCACCAGCUCGGCGCUGUCAGGAGCCACCCAGCCGCAAGGCUUCGGCACGGUGCAGUGCCAGCAGUGUGUUUUCGGCACACGGAGCCGCGUCGUGAAGGCAACGGCUGUGGUGCUCAAGGGAAAAACAACAGCGCUUGAAGAAGGACGGGCUACAGGCCCAGCCAGAAAAAGGCCAGCCGUAAAGGCCGGGCUGCCCGGCAUGCUGGGCCUGGCAGGGCCGCAGCUCGCCUGUUUGCCUUCUGGGAGAAGUCCCCGCCGUGGCUGGCUUUGCCU